AAAACUAGAGGAAUAAGGGCUGGGUAAGACGGGUGCCAGCCGCCGCGGUAAUACCUGCAGCCCAAGUGGUGGUCGAGUUUAUUGAGUCUAAAACGUUCGUAGCCGGUUCGGUAAAUCUUUGGGUAAAUCGGGGGGCUUAACCUUCCGACUUCCGAGGAGACUGCCGAACUUGGGACCGGGAGAGGCUAGAGGUACUUCUGGGGUAGGGGUAAAAUCCUGUAAUCCUAGAAGGACCACCGGUGGCGAAGGCGUCUAGCUAGAACGGAUCCGACGGUGAGGGACGAAGCCCUGGGUCGCAAACGGGAUUAGAUACCCCGGUAGUCCAGGGUGUAAACGCUGCAGACUUGGUGUUGGAGGCCCUUUGGGGGCAUUCAGUGCCGGAGAGAAGUUGUUAAGUCUGCUACUUGGGGAGUACGUCCGCAAGGAUGAAACUUAAAGGAAUUGGCGGGGGAGCACCGCAACGGGAGGAGCGUGCGGUUUAAUUGGAUUCAACACCGUAAAACUCACCAGGGAAGACUGUUACAUGAAGGCCGAGAUGAAGACUCUGCUAGAUUUUCAGAGAGGUGGUGCAUGGCCAUCGUCAGUUCGUACCGUAAGGCGUUCUCUUAAGUGAGAUAACGAACGAGACCCUCGCCGAUAGUUGCUACUUAUCCCUCCGGGGGUAAGGCACAUUAUCGGGACCGCUGGCGCUAAGUCAGAUGAAGGAGAGGUCAACGGUAGGUCAGUAUGCCCCGAAUUUCCUGGGCUACACGCGCGCUACAAAGGACGGGACAAUGGGUUCUGACACCGAGAGGUGUAAGUAAUCCCGAAACCCGUCCGUAGUUCGGAUUGAGGGUUGUAACUCACCCUCAUGAAGCUGGAUUCCGUAGUAAUCGCGAAUCAACAA
RNAcentral lists this ribosomal RNA (886 nucleotides) under wastewater metagenome. RNAcentral's name for it is "bacterial SSU rRNA". It matches the Rfam family "Archaeal small subunit ribosomal RNA", at positions 423 to 1311 of the family's 1478-position model. The record is from RNAcentral.